GCCUGGGUAGCUCAGUCAGUUAAGCAUCUGACUUCUGCUCAGGUCAUGAUGGUUUGUGGGUUUGAGCCCCACGUUGGGCU
Molecule: transfer RNA, 80 nt
Filed under: Felis catus (domestic cat)
Lineage: Eukaryota; Metazoa; Chordata; Mammalia; Carnivora; Felidae
Also listed under: 2 other names
Rfam family: tRNA
About the family: Transfer RNA (tRNA) molecules are approximately 80 nucleotides in length.
Source: Rfam by way of RNAcentral